AGUUUUGGUGUUUGGUUGUGUAGUAUCUUAUUAGUCUCAUUUGCUCUGACUGCAUUAGGCAGGUAUUGUGUGGAGCUGGUUAGCUGCUUGGCUUGUGGGGUAAUUGCUCAGUCAUCAGCUGCUAUUCAUUUGGUAAUUAGGGCUUGUAGUCUGGCUUGGAGCGACGCUAGCGUCGCUCCCUCCCAGUUAGUGUUAUUGCAUCUCUAUCCUUCUGCCAUCACCCUUCCUAUCACUACUCCCUGUCCUCACUGCUAUGCUAUGUGUCAACCCCAUCCCAACCUGUUCUCUCCCCUACAGAACUCGCUUCCGCAGGCGAGGCGACGGAACCUCUCCAACCUUCGCUAUCCCUCAUUGACCCUCUGUGACAACUUCACAGUCGCAGGAGGGCUAUGGAACUGCCAGUCUGCUACGUGGAAGGCUGACUUCAUUUCAGCCUACGCGUCCCUCCUCUCUUUACAUUUCCUUGCCCUCACUGAGACCUGGAUCACACCAGGCAACACUGCAACCCCUGCAGCCCUCUCCUCCUCCUUCUCCUUCUCUCACACCCCCCGCCCAUCUGGCCGUGGUGGGGGCACAGGGCCCCUGGGAAGCUUCCUCGAUGAGCUCGACACCCUGCUGAGCUCCUUCCCAGAGGAUGGCACCCCACUGAUCCUCCUGGGAGACUUCAACAUCCACCUUGAUGCCUCCCACUCCGCAGCCUUCCUGCCCCUACUCCACUCAUUCGAUCACUCCCUGAUGCACUCCCCACCAACACACAAAGCUGGCAACCUCCUAGACCUGGUCAUCCUGAGGAAUUGCUCUUCCUCCGAUCCCACAGUGACCCCUCUGCACCUCUCGCUUCUAGUGUCACUGCUUCACUCCCCACUCUUGAAUCCUUCUCCAACCUUCCCACUGACUCUGCAUCCUCCGCUCUGUCUUCCUCGCUUUCCUCAGCACUUGACUGUCUCUGUCCUCUAGUCUCCAGGCCGGCACGCUCGUCCCCUCCCAGUCCGUGGAUGUCUGACCCCCUCCGAACCAACCGGGCCAGCCUACUUGCAGCGGAGAGGAAGUGGAGGAAAUCCAUGGCUCAAUCCGACCUGUCUGCCUACCAGUCUAUGCUAGCUACAUUUUCUACCUCUGUAACCUCUGCUAAAAUUAAUUAUUAUCAAACAAAAAUUCAUAAAUCUGCCUCUAACCCUCAUCAACUGUUCUCCAUUUUCUCUUCUCUCCUCAGCACUCCUCCUUCCCCACCUCAGUCCUCCCUCGCUGCAGAUGACUUCGCAGUUUUCUUCGAUGAGAAGAUUGCAGACAUCUGCAGCUACUUCACGUCCACCGCCACCCUUCCCCACUCCCCGUCUCUGUUCCCUCCCCUUGUUUCUCCACUUUCUCUCCCCUCACUGACUCUAAUGUUUCCCAGCUCCUACUCUCCCACCGCCCUACCACCAGUGCUCUUGACCCCAUCCCUUCCUCUCUCCUCCAGACUAUCACACCUGACAUCCUCCCAUUUGUCACCUCCCUUGUGAACUCCUCCUUGUCCUCUGGAUGUUUCCCCUCUUCUUUCAAGCUGGCCCACAUCACCCCACUGCUGAAAAAGCCCACUCUGGAUCCCUCUGUCAUCUAGAACUACCGUCCUGUUUCCCUUCUCCCUUUCUUAUCCAAAACAAUUGAACGAGCUGCUUCUAACAAACUCUCCUCUUUUCUCUUAUUGAAGAACCUCCUAGACCCCCACCAGUCCGGCUUCAGACCUGGCCACUUGUACAGAGACCGCACUCCUCUCGGUCAGUGCGCUUCACGCCGCACAAGCAGCCUCCCAUUCAUCUGUCCUGAUCCUCCUAGACCUUUCUGCUGCCUUCGACACAGUCAACCACCCCAUCCUCCUGUCCUCCCUGGCAGCUAUGGGGAUCUGUGGCACAGCACUAGACUGGAUCGACUGCCACAGGAGUUCCCCAGGGCUCAGUCCUUGGUCCCCUCCUAUUCUCCCUGUACACCCAAUCUCUUGGUCCUGUAAUCUCUGCCCAUGGGUUGUCCUAUCAUUGUUAUGCCGAUGACACCCAACUCUUUCUCUCCUUCCCCCCCUCUGACACACAGGUCUCCGCUUGCAUCUCUGCUUGCCUGAGGGACAUCCAAAGCUGGAUGGAUAACCAUCAUCUUAAGCUGAACCCAGGUAAGACAGAGAUGAUCUUCAUCCCUGCUCCAUCCUCUAACCUCCUUGACUUUUCCACUUCCCUAGGGGACACCGUGGUGUCAUCAUCACCCACCGCAAAAAACCUUGGAGUGGUGAUGGACAACAGACUGUCCCUCUCCCAGAACAUCACGGCGGUGAGUCGAACGUGCAGGUUCUUCCUGUGCAACAUCCGGAGAAUCCGCCCCUUCCUCACCACCUACGCAACCCAGCUCCUGGUUCAAGCGAUGGUCCUGUCCCGCCUGGACUACUGCAACUCGCUGCUGGCUGGUCUGCCGGCAUCCGCCAUCGGACCCUUGCAGCUCAUCCAGAAUGCUGCAGCGCGUCUGGUCUACAACCUCCCCAGACAUUCCCAUGUCACCCCCCUGCUCACUGACCUCCACUGGCUACCUGUUAUGGCUCGCAUCAAAUUUAAACCUUGGUGCUUGCAUACCAGGCAGCUAAGGGGUCAGCACCAGGCUACAUCCAGAGGAUCAUCAGACCCUACACACCAGCCAGACUUCUCCGUUCUGCCACCUCUGGACGCUUGGCACCUCCCCCUCUUCGUGUCUGUACUUCCCGCUCCCGUCUGCUGUCUGUCCUGGCCCCUCGCUGGUGGAAUGACCUCCCUGUGACGGUCAGAACAGCAGAGAAUCUGACUACCUUCAAACGCAGACUAAAGACUCAUCUCUUCAGGCUGCACCUCUAGGCUAAUACGAUCACGUUAGUUUUUAUUUGGCAGGAUUGUUUUUGUCUGAUUCUGAUUAGGCAAAUGUGAUUUCAGUGCUAGUUUGUACUUGGCAGGAUUGUUUGUUUGUUUGCUGAACAGGUUACUCUACAGGGUUGGAGUCCUGAUCUAUGUGGCCACUUCUGGCACUACGAUCUUUACUUAACUCUAGUAUGUUUCUUUUGCACCUCUGCACCUUGAACUAAUGCACUUGUUGUACGUCGCUCUGGAUAAGAGCGUCUGCUAAAUGCCUGUAAUGUAAUGUAAUGUAAUGUACAAUGUUGUGAUGUGAACACAGCGUUAAUAUCGUUAGCUAACGCCCAUAGAUACUUGUUCAUUCUACAGUCAAUAUCUGUGACUAAAUAUUGAAUAAACAUACAACCUUA
Anguilla rostrata (American eel) is the source of this 3253-nucleotide long non-coding RNA. RefSeq lists it as uncharacterized. Lineage: Eukaryota; Metazoa; Chordata; Actinopteri; Anguilliformes; Anguillidae. The transcript is spliced from 2 exons. The record is from RefSeq and is a predicted model, not a curated record.